This 334-nucleotide ribosomal RNA is filed under the name uncultured bacterium. RNAcentral describes it as "partial 16S ribosomal RNA". The record is from RNAcentral.
CUUUGGGAAGUCCUGGUGAUUAUGAUGACGUCAUUGGUGUGGGUGCUGUGGAUUCGGCGGAUUCGUUGGCUGAUUUUAGUAGUAGAGGACCUGGUUCUGGAAAAUCCUGGUUUCUUUUUCUUUUUUCUUUUUCCUUUUUCUUUUUCUUCUUUUUUCUUUUUUCUUUCUUUUUUUUACUACUUUUCUUUUUCUUACUUUCUUUUUCUACUUUUCUUUUUUCUUUUCUUUUUCUUUUUCUUUUUUCUUUCUUUUUUCUUUUUUCUUUUUCUUUUCUUUUUUCUUUUUCUUUUUCUUUUCUUUUUCUUUUUUCUUUUUCUUUUUCUUUUUCUUUUUU